UACCGUUUGGGGAGAUUGACAGACUGUUAUUUUGUUGAAAGGGUUCCUCAUGAGGGCUU
Molecule: transfer RNA, 59 nt
Filed under: Centrorhynchus clitorideus
Lineage: Eukaryota; Metazoa; Acanthocephala; Palaeacanthocephala; Polymorphida; Centrorhynchidae
Description: tRNA-Asn
Source: RNAcentral